Brachypodium distachyon (stiff brome) is the source of this 404-nucleotide long non-coding RNA. RefSeq lists it as uncharacterized. The transcript has 2 exons. The record is from RefSeq and is a predicted model, not a curated record. NCBI's taxonomy places the organism in Eukaryota, Viridiplantae, Streptophyta, Magnoliopsida, Poales, Poaceae.
GCGUUGUUGUAGCAUCUGCAUUGUAAUAUUUCAGUUUUCAGAUUUCUUUUCCAGAACGCGCAAAAGCUUGUCGCAUUUUGGCAUCAAGAUUUUCGUAAGGGAAAGAGGAGCUUUAUUACUCAUUGAACGGGGUUACAAUCAGUAGCGAUACCUGCUACGAUACACGGGUGGGCCUGACCAAGCAAAACAUCAGAAACCCGAGCAUCCACACAUGUUGAGGUGUGCUGCUCUAUAAAACCUACGAGAUUUACUCCAUCCUUUGUGUGUUUGGUUUUCUGCAUUUCGUCACCCGAGUGAAGAUGCAAAUGACGCAGACAGAGAAGUUAGCUUCAAAGUUGUUGUUUUUGUAAUUUUCGGCUUUAUCCUGAAUCUUUGUUGUCGUUCAAAAUUUGAUGUCACGCAAA